This 689-nucleotide unclassified non-coding RNA is filed under the name Hevea brasiliensis (rubber tree). The record is from RNAcentral. Lineage: Eukaryota; Viridiplantae; Streptophyta; Magnoliopsida; Malpighiales; Euphorbiaceae.
CGAAGAUGGAACCAAUGAUUGAACAUCCCAUUUUCCCAUGCAUGACCUUUCUUCCUUCUGUAUUUUAUUGCUGGCCCAGAUUUGAACCUGUGAACAACAAUAAGACGGAACUCAUCAAAGGUGAAAAUAUUGUAACAAAAAUGCAGAUGAAAUAAUUGCAACAAGGAGCUAACUACCACGGGUAUGGUAAUAGCAUGUAAGACUGAAUGGAGAAUUGAAGUUGAUAAAAUAACAGUAACAAAAAUACAGCAAACCCAUGGUACACAGCUAACAUAGAACCAAGCAAGCAGAACAAGGAAACAAAAGAACUAAUAUUUGAAAACUCAAUAGUCUUAUUCAAUCCUCAAUAAUAAGGUAACAACAUGAGUUGAUUAGGAUGCUCCAUAUGAGAACCAAUAAUUAUUACAGAAUAGAAAACCUUGGACUGAAUACAAGUAGGAAAACUAUGUUUACUAAAUAAAUUAUGAAAUACUAAAGCAUUAAUAUUGCUAACAGAAAAUAUCUGAACAAAACUUCUUAAUAAAAAUGUACAUGAAAAAUCAAAAUUUAUUAUUUAAUAGAAAUGAUUACUAAAUAUUCUUUCCCUUUUCUUCACCAACAGCACAGUACAAAACAAACUGCGAAAGGAGAAGAGGAAAGAGAUAAGAAAGGUCAGUGUAAAUAAAUGAGAAGCUUGAUUAUUUCCUCAA